Molecule: ribosomal RNA, 580 nt
Filed under: uncultured bacterium
Lineage: Bacteria
Description: bacterial SSU rRNA
Rfam family: Bacterial small subunit ribosomal RNA
Source: RNAcentral
CCAGACUCCUACGGGAGGCAGCAGUGGGGAAUAUUGGACAAUGGACCAAGAGUCUGAUCCAGCAAUUCUGUGUGCACGAUGAAGUUUUUCGGAAUGUAAAGUGCUUUCAGUUGGGAAGAAAAAAAUGACGGUACCAACAGAAGAAGUGACGGCUAAAUACGUGCCAGCAGCCGCGGUAAUACGUAUGUCACAAGCGUUAUCCGGAUUUAUUGGGCGUAAAGCGCGUCUAGGUGGUUAUAUAAGUCUGAUGUGAAAAUGCAGGGCUCAACUCUGUAUUGCGUUGGAAACUGUGUAACUAGAGUACUGGAGAGGUAAGCGGAACUACAAGUGUAGAGGUGAAAUUCGUAGAUAUUUGUAGGAAUGCCGAUGGGGAAGCCAGCUUACUGGACAGAUACUGACGCUAAAGCGCGAAAGCGUGGGUAGCAAACAGGAUUAGAUACCCCGGUAGUCCACGCUGUAAACGAUGAUUACUAGGUGUUGGGGGUCGAACCUCAGCGCCCAAGCAAACGCGAUAAGUAAUCCGCCUGGGGAGUACGUACGCAAGUAUGAAACUCAAGGAAUUGACGGGGGCCCGCACAAG